AAGAUCUUAUUUUCUAGGGAUCAGGGAUUAUUUCUAUAGCAUGGGACUAGAGAAGUUUCUGAUCGUGUAGAGCACCCGAAGCCACGAGGAGUCAGAGCAUUCUCUCCUGAGCGUGAAGCCAGCUCUAGAUGUCGCUUCUGCGGCUGCCUUUGGCCAUUGAUGAUCUUUCUCCCUUUUCUCUGGAAAGGGUAGAGGGAAAGAAUGCAGUCUAAGUGGU
Suncus etruscus (white-toothed pygmy shrew) is the source of this 217-nucleotide small nucleolar RNA. RefSeq annotates it as small nucleolar RNA U3. The record is from RefSeq and is a predicted model, not a curated record. The transcript has a single exon. Lineage: Eukaryota; Metazoa; Chordata; Mammalia; Eulipotyphla; Soricidae.